This 75-nucleotide transfer RNA is filed under the name Shewanella piezotolerans WP3. RNAcentral's name for it is "tRNA-Gln". Lineage: Bacteria; Pseudomonadati; Pseudomonadota; Gammaproteobacteria; Alteromonadales; Shewanellaceae. The record is from RNAcentral.
CCGAUGAAACAUCCACCAAUUACGCUAGCGAUGGUAACACCAGCAGCAACUGGCAUAGCGAUCGCAAUAAUUCCU